AUGGCCACCAGAGGGGGAGUAGUGCUCAACCUGCGCGUCCCGUCGGCUUCAGUGGCGCCGGCGCGGCGGUGUGGGACGGCGUCGUCGUCGGUGAGAUGCGGGAGCGCGCGCGGGGCGGCGCCGGCGAGGCAUACGGAGGACCACUACCGGACUCUGAGGCUGCAGCCGGGCGCCACCAGGGGCGAGGUCAAGAAGGCCUUCCACCGCCUCGCGCUGCAGUACCACCCGGACGUCGUGCGCCAAGAAAACAGCGUGGACUUCGAGCGGAUCAACGCGGCGUACCAGAGGGUGAUGAGCAACAUGCGGGAGGCGGAGGCGACGCUCGAGUACUGGCGCCGCCGCUACGGCCUCGCGGACAAGGACCUCGACCGCUACCGCCACUACCCCAACGAGGAGGACGAGGACGACUGGUUCGCCGACCUCUGA
RNAcentral lists this ribosomal RNA (426 nucleotides) under Triticum aestivum (bread wheat). RNAcentral describes it as "partial small subunit ribosomal RNA". Lineage: Eukaryota; Viridiplantae; Streptophyta; Magnoliopsida; Poales; Poaceae. The record is from RNAcentral.